This 466-nucleotide ribosomal RNA is filed under the name uncultured bacterium. Its description in RNAcentral is "bacterial SSU rRNA". It matches the Rfam family "Bacterial small subunit ribosomal RNA", at positions 338 to 795 of the family's 1533-position model. The record is from RNAcentral.
CCUACGGGGGGCUGCAGUGAGGAAUUUUGCGCAAUGGGGGAAACCCUGACGCAGCAACGCCGCGUGAGUGAUGAAGGCUUUCGGGUCGUAAAGCUCUGUCAAGUGAGAAGAACCUGCCCUUUGCUAAUAUCACUGGACAUUGACGGUAUCACUGAAGGAAGCACCGGCUAACUCCGUGCCAGCAGCCGCGGUAAUACGGAGGGUGCAAGCGUUAUUCGGAAUCACUGGGCGUAAAGAGCGCGUAGGCGGUUUCUAAAGUCAGAUGUGAAAGCCCGGGGCUCAACCCCGGAAGUGCAUUUGAAACUUAGGGACUUGAGUAUGGGAGAGGGAAGUGGAAUUCCUGGUGUAGCGGUGAAAUGCGUAGAUAUCAGGAGGAACACCGGUGGUGAAGGCGACUUCCUGGACCAAUACUGACGCUGAGGCGCGAAGGCGUGGGGAGCAAACAGGAUUAGAUACCCGAGUAGUC